UCUCAGUACAGACUGAACCAAAGUGAAACCGCAAAAGGCUCAGUAAAAAGGUUUAAUUUACUAGAGUAAACUUGACUGUUCUUGGAUAACUGUGGUAAUUCUAGAGCUAAUACAUGCAACUAAGCCCCGACCAUUUUUGGGAAGGGCGCUUUUAUUAGAUCAAGACCAUUCGCUGGGGCAUCCCUGGCGUCUGAUUGACGACUCUGGAUAACACAUCAGAUCGCAUGGUCUCGUACCGGCGACUUAUCUUUCAAAUGCCUGACUUAUCAACUGACGAUGGUAGACUCUGUGUCUACCAUGGCUCUUACGGGUAACGGGGAAUCAGGGUUCGAUUCCGGAGAGGGAGCCUGAGAAACGGCUACCACAUCCAAGGAAGGCAGCAGGCACGCAAAUUACCCACUCCCGGCACGGGGAGGUAGUGACAAAAAAUAACGAUGCGGGACUCUUAUUGAGGCCUCGCAAUCGGAAUGAGUACACUUUAAAUCCUUUAACAAGGAUCCAUUGGAGGGCAAGUCUGGUGCCAGCAGCCGCGGUAAUUCCAGCUCCAAUAGCGUAUAUUAAAGUUGUUGCGGUUAAAAAGCUCGUAGUUGGAUGUGCGUCCCACGCUGUCGGUACACCGUUUUGUCGGUGACACUGGCAUGCCGUGGAAUGUCCUGUCGGUGGCGGCCAAGGCCCAAGGUUAGUUUUGCCUUUGGGCUAAUUGAACUUGGUGCUCUUUGGCCGCCGACUUAUAUCCUACCGCGGUGCUCUUUACCGAGUGUCGAGGUAGGCCGACACGUUUACUUUGAACAAAUUAGAGUGCUUAAAGCAGGCUAAAAUUACUGCCAGAAUAGUGGUGCAUGGAAUAAUGGAACAGGCCCUUGGUUUUAUUCUGUUGGUCUUUGAAACACAAGGUAAUGAUCAAUGUGGACAGGCGGUGCAUUCGUAUUGCGGCGUUAGAGGUGAAAUUCUUGGAUGCAUUUGCCAAGUAUGUCUUAAUUGAUCAAGAACGAAAGUUAGAGGUUCGAAGGCGAUCAGAUACCGCCCUAGUUCUAACCAUAAACGAUGCCAGCCAGCGAUCCGCCGAUGUUCCUCCGAUGACUCGGCGGGGAGCUUUCCCCGGGAAACCAAAGCUUUUGGGUUCCGGGGGAAGUAUGGUUGCAAAGCUGAAACUUAAAGGAAUUGACGGAAGGGCACCACCAGGAGUGGAGCCUGCGGCUUAAUUUGACUCAACACGGGAAACCUCACCAGGUCAGGACAUUGGAAUGAUUGACAGAUUGAUAGCUCUUUCUUGAUUCAGUGGGUAGUGGUGCAUGGCCGUUCUUAGUUGGUGGAUCGAUUUGUCUGGUUAAUUCCGAUAACGAACGAGACUCUAGCCUAUUAACUAGACGUUUCUGGUAUCUUUGCUACCAGCGAACAAUUAUCUUCUUAAGGGGACAGGCGGCUUAUAGCCGCACGAGAUUGAGCAAUAACAGGUCUGUAAUGCCCUUAGAUGUCCUGGGCCGCACGCGCGCUACACUGAAGGAAUCAGCGUGUGCUUUCCCUUGGCCGAAAGGUCCGGGUAACCCGCUGAACCUCCUUCGUGCUAGGAAUUGGGGCUUGCAAUUGUUCCCCAUGAACGAGGAAUUCCCAGUAAGCGCGAGUCAUAAGCUCGCGUUGAUUACGUCCCUGCCCUUUGUACACACCGCCCGUCGCUACUACCGAUUGAAUGAUUUAGUGAGGUCUUCGGACUGGCAGUAGGCCCAACCGACUUGUCGGUUUUGUCGAACGCUGGAAAGAUGACCAAACUUGAUCAUUUAGAGGAAGUAAAAGUCGU
RNAcentral lists this ribosomal RNA (1795 nucleotides) under Scoloposcelis sp. SHJ-2010. RNAcentral describes it as "SSU rRNA". It matches the Rfam family "Eukaryotic small subunit ribosomal RNA". The record is from RNAcentral. Lineage: Eukaryota; Metazoa; Arthropoda; Insecta; Hemiptera; Anthocoridae.